CUGCCGGCGCUGGGGCCCGCGCUGGACCUGGAGGCUCUGGAACGGGGCGAUGCCGAGGCCCUGGCAGCUGUCCCGGUGACGGUGGCGGGGCUCGGGCUGGCUGCGAGCGAUGCUGAGGAGGACGGGGCAGCAGAAGCCAUGGAGGACGACAGCGCUGACCUGGAGCUCAGCACGAUGACAGUGGAGCUCAAGCCCCGGGUGAAGUCGGGGGGCACUGGGGGGGAUCCAGUGCCCCGAGCCCCCAGUCUGGAGGAGGUGGCUGCGCUCCCCCCUCUGCUCCAGGGCCAGGGGCUGCGGGCAGCCGGGAAAAGGAGGAAAAAACUGCAAAAAAGAGCAGAGAAAAUCGCCACGAAGCUGUCGGAGACACUGGAGGCAGCCAUGCAGUUCUGAGGCUUUUAUAAAUUAAAUCGCUGUAUUUAAAUGAGAAACAGUUCAAUCUUUUCAGAAACAAAAUAACUAAGGGAGCAGGGAGGGCUGUAGGGGUGGUCUGGGAGGUCUCUCAGGUAAGAGAUUGAAAUGUGGAGGUUUUUGGGGGUCCUUGUCCCUGGAAGGGUUUUGGGGGGGUCUCACUGCAUCUUACAGCUGGGGGGGUGAGUGGGGAUCACUAAAAACUUAUCAGUUUUUACAGCUGAUAUAGAAAAUGUAACGCUCAGCCACUUAGUGAACCUCAGAACUGGGGAGGGCUCAGCAUUAGGGUUGCACCCCAUUAUUAAAGACACUCCACCUCCACAACCUCCCCAAUUCCUGUAGCACCCAGUACCCCACUUUGACACUAAAUGAACCCCCCCCAACCUUCCAGAGCACCCCAAAAGCCACCUCGGACACCCCAAAAGCCACCUCGGACACCCCAAAAGCCACCUCGGACACCCCACACACUCCCUGAGGUCCCACAGCUCCCCAAAACCCCCUCGGACCCUCCCAAAAAGCAGAGGGUGCCUCCCUAAGCCGUCACCCUUAGCCCUCACAGCACCCUCACCUGUAUAGGCAGGGUGUGAAGGUUCCCCCGGGAUUUUGGGGUGCCCCCAGUGCCGGGCUGGGGAGGGGGAACGCGGCCACCGAGCUCCCCUCGGCCUCCACCCACCAUUCUGCCACCUUUUCCUCCGCCUGUGAGGAGCAGCAGCCACAGGUGGUGGUGAGGGCAGCACAGGUGUUUCAAAUAACGGCUGAUGAGGCGGAGGGAGGGGUGGAAGGGGCCGUCCCGCCUCGUUUUGGGCUGGUUCGUGGGGGUUUUUUUGCAGCGCUUGGCGCCAUUUUGCCGCCGUGAGGGGAGGGGGGGGGCG
Molecule: long non-coding RNA, 1280 nt
Organism: Cyanistes caeruleus (blue tit)
Lineage: Eukaryota; Metazoa; Chordata; Aves; Passeriformes; Paridae
Product: guanine nucleotide-binding protein-like 3-like protein
Source: Ensembl